GAUGAACGCUGGCGGCGUGCCUAAUACAUGCAAGUCGAGCGAACGGACGAGAAGCUUGCUUCUCUGAUAUUAGCGGCGGACGGGUGAGUAACACGUGGAUAACCUACCUAUAAGACUGGGAUAACUUCGGGAAACCGGAGCUAAUACCGGAUAAUAUUUUGAACCGCAUGGUUCAAAAGUGAAAGACGGUCUUGCUGUCACUUAUAGAUGGAUCCGCGCUGCAUUAGCUAGUUGGCAAGGUAACGGCUUACCAAGGCAACGAUGCAUAGCCGACCUGAGAGGGUGAUCGGCCACACUGGAACUGAGACACGGUCCAGACUCCUACGGGAGGCAGCAGUAGGGAAUCUUCCGCAAUGGGCGAAAGCCUGACGGAGCAACGCCGCGUGAGUGAUGAAGGUCUUCGGAUCGUAAAACUCUGUUAUUAGGGAAGAACAUAUGUGUAAGUAACUGUGCACAUCUUGACGGUACCUAAUCAGAAAGCCACGGCUAACUACGUG
This 497-nucleotide ribosomal RNA is filed under the name uncultured bacterium. RNAcentral describes it as "partial 16S ribosomal RNA". It matches the Rfam family "Bacterial small subunit ribosomal RNA", at positions 28 to 507 of the family's 1533-position model. The record is from RNAcentral.